Molecule: long non-coding RNA, 206 nt
Filed under: Pongo abelii (Sumatran orangutan)
Lineage: Eukaryota; Metazoa; Chordata; Mammalia; Primates; Hominidae
Description: lincRNA
Source: RNAcentral
GUGCACUGGCGGGCCCUCCCCUCGGGCGUUGCCUCCCACCCACGCCCGGCGGCACCGCACCCCGAGGCGCUUCACGUCACGGAGCUGCUAAGAGACGGGCGGGGCUCCGGUUCCGGACGGAGCCUCACUCUGUCGCCCAGGCUGGAGUGCAGUGGCACAAUCUCAGCUCACUGCAGUCUCGACCUUCCGGGUUCAAGCAAUUCUCC